RNAcentral lists this unclassified non-coding RNA (353 nucleotides) under soil metagenome. Its description in RNAcentral is "partial contains 5.8S ribosomal RNA, internal transcribed spacer 2, and large subunit ribosomal RNA". The stretch from base 1 to 120 matches the Rfam family "5.8S ribosomal RNA", at positions 35 to 154 of the family's 154-position model. The record is from RNAcentral.
GAUGAAGAACGCAACGAAAUGCGAUAAGUAAUGUGAAUUGCAGAAUUCAGUGAAUCAUCGAAUCUUUGAACGCACAUUGCGCCCGCCAGUAUUCUGGCGGGCAUGCCUGUUCGAGCGUCAUUACAACCCUCAGGCCCCCGGGCCUGGCGUUGGGGAUCGGCGGAAGCCCCCUGCGGGCACAACGCCGUCCCCCAAAUACAGUGGCGGUCCCGCCGCAGCUUCCAUUGCGUAGUAGCUAACACCUCGCAACUGGAGAGCGGCGCGGCCACGCCGUAAAACACCCAACUUCUGAAUGUUGACCUCGAAUCAGGUAGGAAUACCCGCUGAACUUAAGCAUAUCAAUAAGCGGAGGA